RNAcentral lists this ribosomal RNA (171 nucleotides) under uncultured bacterium. Its description in RNAcentral is "partial 16S ribosomal RNA". It matches the Rfam family "Bacterial small subunit ribosomal RNA", at positions 358 to 525 of the family's 1533-position model. The record is from RNAcentral.
UGGAUUUGCGACAUGGGCGCAGCCUGAUCCAGCAUGCCGCGUGAGUGAUGAAGGCCUUCGGGUUGUAAAGCUCUUUCGGCCGGGACGAUGAUGAGCGGACCCGACGUUGUACCGCUGACAGUUUCGGGCCAACAACCCCGGUAAUAAUACAUGCCAGCAGCCGCGGUAAUA